RNAcentral lists this ribosomal RNA (798 nucleotides) under uncultured Proteiniphilum sp. RNAcentral describes it as "bacterial SSU rRNA". It matches the Rfam family "Bacterial small subunit ribosomal RNA", at positions 8 to 795 of the family's 1533-position model. Lineage: Bacteria; Pseudomonadati; Bacteroidota; Bacteroidia; Bacteroidales; Dysgonomonadaceae. The record is from RNAcentral.
AGAGUUUGAUUAUGGCUCAGGAUGAACGCUAGCGAUAGGCCUAACACAUGCAAGUCGAGGGGCAGCACAUGAAGUAGCAAUACGGAUGGUGGCGACCGGCGCGCGGGUGAGUAACGCGUAUGCAACCUGCCUACAACAGGGGAAUAACCCGUUGAAAGACGGACUAAUACCCCAUAACACAGGGAUCCCGCAUGGGAAUAUUUGUUAAAGAUUUAUCGGUUGUAGAUGGGCAUGCGUUCCAUUAGCUUGUUGGUGAGGUAACGGCUCACCAAGGCAACGAUGGAUAGGGGAACUGAGAGGUUUAUCCCCCAUACUGGUACUGAGACACGGACCAGACUCCUACGGGAGGCAGCAGUGAGGAAUAUUGGUCAAUGGACGCAAGUCUGAACCAGCCACGUCGCGUGAAGGAAGACGGCCCUACGGGUUGUAAACUUCUUUUGUAAGGGAAUAAAGUGCAGUACGUGUACUGUUUUGUAUGUACCUUACGAAUAAGGAUCGGCUAACUCCGUGCCAGCAGCCGCGGUAAUACGGAGGAUCCGAGCGUUAUCCGGAUUUAUUGGGUUUAAAGGGUGCGCAGGCGGGAGAUUAAGUCGGCGGUGAAAUUUUGCAGCUCAACUGUAAAAGUGCCUUCGAAACUGGUUUUCUUGAGUGUGGAUGAAGUAGGCGGAAUUUGUGGUGUAGCGGUGAAAUGCAUAGAUAUCACGAGGAACUCCGAUUGCGCAGGCAGCUUACUAAACCAUAACUGACGCUCAGGCACGAAGGCGUGGGGAUCAAACAGGAUUAGAUACCCUGGUAGUC